UACGGAGGGUGCAAGCGUUGUUCGGAAUUAUUGGGCGUAAAGCGCGUGCAGGCGGCUGCUCAAGUCUGAUGUGAAAGCCCGGGGCUCAACCCCGGAAGUGCAUUGGAAACUGGGCGGCUUGAGUACGGGAGAGGGAGGUAGAAUUCCGAGUGUAGGGGUGAAAUCCGUAGAUAUUCGGAGGAAUACCGGUGGCGAAGGCGGCCUCCUGGACCGAUACUGACGCUGAGACGCGAAAGCGUGGGGAG
RNAcentral lists this ribosomal RNA (245 nucleotides) under uncultured Geobacteraceae bacterium. RNAcentral's name for it is "partial 16S ribosomal RNA". It matches the Rfam family "Bacterial small subunit ribosomal RNA", at positions 524 to 768 of the family's 1533-position model. Lineage: Bacteria; Pseudomonadati; Thermodesulfobacteriota; Desulfuromonadia; Geobacterales; Geobacteraceae. The record is from RNAcentral.